This 331-nucleotide ribosomal RNA is filed under the name uncultured eukaryote. Its description in RNAcentral is "partial 18S ribosomal RNA". It matches the Rfam family "Eukaryotic small subunit ribosomal RNA", at positions 1470 to 1796 of the family's 1831-position model. The record is from RNAcentral.
CCCUUAGAUGUUCUGGGCCGCACGCGCGCUACACUGAUGCAUUCAACGAGUCUAAAACCUGCUCUGAUAGGGGUGGGUAAUCUUUUGAAUGUGCAUCGUGAUUGGGAUAGAUGAUUGCAAUUUUUCAUCUUCAACGAGGAAUGCCUAGUAAACGCAAGUCAUCAGCUUGCAUUGAUUACGUCCCUGCCCUUUGUACACACCGCCCGUCGCUCCUACCGAUUGAAGUUUUCGGUGAGUUGACAGGAGGAUUUUUUUGAAACUGGUUCGCCAGUGGAUUUUAGAUCCAAAUGCCAACGAAUCGAUGGCUUUAGAGGAAGGAGAAGUCGUAACA